AUAGUCACUAUAAUCAAUAGUGUAUUGCCUGUAGAUCUAGUACCUGUACUAAUAUUAGUAGAUGUAGAUCUAUAAUAAUAAUACUUUUUAAUAGUAGAAAGUAGAUUUAUAAUCUAUCAAUUCUAUCUAAUCUAGACUAGAUGUAGAUCUAAAUCUAGACUUCACUUUCACAUCACAUGAUUAUUGAUACAGACACUGAAUGAAACGAAUGCAGUGAUUAUAUUAUAGUUUAUACUGAUUAUACUUAUAGCUCUACCAGUUGAUUAUCAUCAUCAUCAUAGAUAAUAAUCUAGACUAGUAUUCUAGAUCUAUAAAUAAUUAUAGUCACCGUGAUAGUGCCCUUUUUAGUCAAUGUAGUCAAGUCAAGAUAGUGGAACGUAAACUCGAAGGUUUAAUACAAUACAGUAUAAGUAGAGUCUAUGAUUAUUAACAAGUAGAACCAUGCCAACCAGUUCUGAUGAUGUACCAGAAUGGCUCAAGGAUCAUACUUAUACUAUUUCUACUCUCUGGGCAGACAUUAAUAAUAUUGGCAUCUAUUCAAUAUUUAUUUUAUGUUUGGAAAUGCAAGAAAAGGGCAUGCAUUCCUGACAAGUCAAUGAUUGGUUGCACCUCUUAAAGAUAACUUUCUGUUAUGAGAAAAGAUGAGAUUCUUGGACUCCUGCAUAGCACCACAAGAAAGGAAAAUCCCAUCAUGUUGCAAAAUAAAAGUCUUGGACCAAUUUUAAUUUAAGAUAUAUAUAUUAUACUGUAAGCUCUAUACAUAUUUAUGUAUAUCCUGUCAUUCAGCCAACAGGUUUGAAUUUAGUAUUUCUUUAAAUCUGUUUAAUAUUGUACUUGAAAACUAUUAAUCUGAGCCCCAUUAAAACAAUAGGGAGUGCAGUGAAUGAAUGGUAAAGCACUUGGCUUCUGAACUGAGGGUUCCUGGGUUCGAUUAAGACUGGGAUUUUCAAUUUCAGAAUUCAAAAGGCUAGGGAUACAUGGCAAUAGUAAGGAAUAAGUAAAUGGCUGAAUGGUUAAAUCAUGGGUUUGAAUCUCUGUGAAGACUCAGAUUUAAAUUUUUUAGAUUUUUGGGUGCCCCUGAGUCCACCUAACUCUAAUGGGUAGCUGACUUUCGUUUUGGUUGGUUGUUGUGCUGGCCACAUGAUGCACUGGCCAAAGAAUCAAAUGACCUUAACAUCAUCUGCCCUAUAGAUUGUGAGGUCUGAAAUGGGAUUUUUUUUCAAAAGGUGGUUGGUUGUGGUGCUGGGUACAUGACACCCUCGCUAACCAUGGGGCACAGAAACUGAUAAACUUUAUAUCAUCUGCCCCAUAGAUUGCAAGAUAUGUAAGGGAAAUUUUACUUUUUUAAAAUUAAAAUAAGAAUCUAACAAAAGUAAACAUAUAAAAUAUGGUGCAUUCUCCUUAAAACUAAAACCUGGUGCGAAGGUUUAAAAUGUUGGCAAAAAAAAAGCAACAUCAUAUAUUCUUAAUUCCCUUUGCAAAACUUACUGAGAAGAACAUGCAUGUUGUUCCCUUAUACAUUUCUUGACAGAGAAAAUCUUGUUUAUAUUAGAUUUGCAUUAAGCAAGUUAGGAAAAAAAUUAUAAUCAUUAUUUCAAAUGGUUGUAUCUAAAACCUUAUGAAUCAUUUUUCAGUUUUAAGUAUAUUGAGAUGAAUGGAUAAUCAUGAAAUUAUUAAAUAAUUGCUGCUAUCAUUCCAUUGACUAAAGAACCAUAAUUUUUUUUUUUUUUAAUUCAUUUCAAAAUGAUUUUUUUCAAGCAUAGAGUUCACAUAGAUCUUGAGUGAAUUUUUUUUUUUAUUUGACUAAUGCUUCAAUUUUAUUGUAUUAUAUUAGUUUUUAAUUUUUAUUACCCAGAAUAUUUAAAAAAUGAGUACACUAUUUUCAUGUAAUAAUGUAACUUGUUAUUCACACAAUGCUCAAAAUACGCUAUAAUCUUUAGGCCAUACAGAUUUGUAUAAAUUAACUUGUUUAAAUACAUUGUAAAUGUAUAUUGUUUGGAUAAGAAUAAAGUUUUUCUGUAGACAAUUAUUGUUCAAGAUUUGUUGAUGCUCCUGCUUAAUCAAUUAUAUAUACAGGUCAUUAGUUUUAACACGUUGGAUAAUAAAUGACAGUACAAGUUAGUGAAUGAAAAUUUGUCAUUAUUUCAGCUGCUUUAGGCCUACAUCAAUGUGAGGUACCAGUACUUUGAUUGUGUCAUAUAACAAUUUAAAGCAACAUUUUGAAAUGAAUAGUCUGUAGAAUUGACAGUAAAUACAUUUAAGUGAUGGGCUGUGAUCUGCAUGAAUUGAGAGCUGAUCAUGUAUUGAAUUUGUGUUUUUGA
Molecule: long non-coding RNA, 2321 nt
Organism: Biomphalaria glabrata
Lineage: Eukaryota; Metazoa; Mollusca; Gastropoda; Planorbidae
Exons: 4
Source: RefSeq, a predicted model, not a curated record